AAUGAACGUUGGCGGCGUGGAUUAGGCAUGCAAGUCGAGCGAGAAGCUUUAAAAAGAUACUUCGGUUGAUUUUUGAAGUGGACAGCGGCGAAAGGGAGAGUAACGAGUAGAUACGUACCCGAGGGUUUGGGAUAGCGGGGAGAAAUCGCCGGUAAUACCGAAUAAUGUUUCCGAACCAAAGAUUUAUCGCCCUCGGAGCGGUCUGCUUACUAUUAGGUAGUUGGUGUGGUAAUGGCGCACCAAGCCCGAGAUGGUUAGCGGGUGUGAGAGCAUGGCCCGUCUCACUGGGACUGAGACACUGCCCAGACACCUACGGGUGGCUGCAGUCGAGAAUCUUCCGCAAUGGACGAAAGUCUGACGGAGCGACGCCGCGUGCGGGAUGAAGGCCUUCGGGUUGUAAACCGCUGUCAUAGGGGAGGAAAUUUUGACCGAUCCUAAGAGGAAGCACAGGCUAAGUUCG
This 460-nucleotide ribosomal RNA is filed under the name uncultured Planctomycetaceae bacterium. Its description in RNAcentral is "bacterial SSU rRNA". It matches the Rfam family "Bacterial small subunit ribosomal RNA", at positions 29 to 505 of the family's 1533-position model. Lineage: Bacteria; Pseudomonadati; Planctomycetota; Planctomycetia; Planctomycetales; Planctomycetaceae. The record is from RNAcentral.